CCUGAGAAAAUGAACAUGAGGAUGAUGAUGUUGAAGAAGAAGAGAUGAAAGCGAGUGAGGAGUUGAACUUGAUUUGCGAUGCGAACCUUCUUCCCCAACGUGCGUGUUUCUGGAGCAGCUCCACCUCCAUUCGAUGCUACAAUCCAAAAUACACCGUGACAAAACCAAUGAAGGAAAAAACGAAGAAAAAAGUAGAACAAAUAAUAAACAGAGAGCUUGUGGAGAAAAAAAGCACCAAGAAGACCCCGUUUUCAGCCCCUUUUUUUCUUCUAACGCUUCUUCUCUGCAAGCUCCUCUGCAAGACCCAUUUAACUAC
Molecule: long non-coding RNA, 316 nt
Filed under: Physcomitrium patens
Lineage: Eukaryota; Viridiplantae; Streptophyta; Bryopsida; Funariales; Funariaceae
Description: long non-coding RNA (PPAT_LNC005368)
Source: RNAcentral